AAACCAUGACGAGGACAAUCUAAGAGGAUGUCUUUGAAAUGUUCCAUACAUUUAGAGAAUGAUUCAUUGGGUCUUUGAUGAAACUAAAAAAUGUCGUUCCUAAGCUU
Molecule: small nucleolar RNA, 107 nt
Filed under: Cephalotus follicularis
Lineage: Eukaryota; Viridiplantae; Streptophyta; Magnoliopsida; Oxalidales; Cephalotaceae
Description: Plant small nucleolar RNA R71
Rfam family: Plant small nucleolar RNA R71
About the family: R71 is a member of the C/D box family of snoRNAs containing the C (UGAUGA) and D (CUGA) box motifs.
Source: Rfam by way of RNAcentral